GUGUCAGCCGCCGCGGUAAUACGGAGGAUCCAAGCGUUAUCCGGAAUCAUUGGGUUUAAAGGGUCCGUAGGCGGUUUAAUAAGUCAGUGGUGAAAGCCCAUCGCUCAACGGUAGAACGGCCAUUGAUACUGUUAAACUUGAAUUAUUAGGAAGUAACUAGAAUAUGUAGUGUAGCGGUGAAAUGCUUAGAGAUUACAUGGAAUACCAAUUGCGAAGGCAGGUUACUACUAAUGGAUUGACGCUGAUGGACGAAAGCGUGGGUAGCGAACAGGAUUAGAAACCCUAGUAGUCC
This 292-nucleotide ribosomal RNA is filed under the name uncultured Flavobacterium sp. Its description in RNAcentral is "partial 16S ribosomal RNA". It matches the Rfam family "Bacterial small subunit ribosomal RNA", at positions 505 to 796 of the family's 1533-position model. Lineage: Bacteria; Pseudomonadati; Bacteroidota; Flavobacteriia; Flavobacteriales; Flavobacteriaceae. The record is from RNAcentral.